GAGAGAGAGACAUGCGCGCAUAUCAAUAAGCGGAGGAAAAGAAACUAACUAGGAUUCCCUCAGUAACGGCGAGUGAAGCGGGAAGAGCUCAAAUUUGAAAUCUUCAAGGUUCUACCUUGACGAAUUGUAGUUUAAAGAAGUGUUUUCUGUUGGAGUUUUGGUAAAAGUUCUUUGGAAUAGGACAUCAUAGAGGGUGAGAAUCCCGUAUUUGACCAUUAUUUCCAACUUUGUGAUACACUUUCAAAGAGUCGGAUUGUUUGGGAAUGCAGUCCAAAAUGGGUGGUAAAUUUCAUCUAAAGCUAAAUAUUGGCGAGAGACCGAUAGCGAACAAGUACCGUGAGGGAAAGAUGAAAAGAACUUUGAAAAGAGAGUUAAACAGUACGUGAAAUUGUCAAAAGGGAAGCGUUUGACACCAGUGUUGUUUUCUCGAAAAUCAAUUAAAAAAGACUGGAUUUUGUGUUGUAUUGACUUUAUCAGCUUUCUUCACUCUUUUCUUGUCUUUUUUAAUGCACUUUUCGUUUAACAAGUCAACAUCAGUUUCUUUUGCUGUAAAAGAGUCAUUGGAAGGUGGCUUUCUUUUCGGAGAAAGUGUUUAUAGCCUUUGGCCUCUGCAAUCGGAGAGAUUGAGGUCUGCAGCGUAGAUCCUUCGGGGUUAGAUACAUUUGUGCUAAGUUAUAGCCUUUCAUAGACAACUUGUUGACUAUGAUCAGUCAUGUAGCUUACUCGCUUAUGUCUAUUUUACCUACGCUUAGGAUGUUGACAGCAGUAUAGACUGU
This 776-nucleotide ribosomal RNA is filed under the name uncultured Neocallimastigales. RNAcentral's name for it is "partial large subunit ribosomal RNA". It matches the Rfam family "Eukaryotic large subunit ribosomal RNA", at positions 23 to 633 of the family's 3401-position model. Lineage: Eukaryota; Fungi; Neocallimastigomycota; Neocallimastigomycetes; Neocallimastigales. The record is from RNAcentral.